RNAcentral lists this long non-coding RNA (199 nucleotides) under Fukomys damarensis (Damara mole-rat). Its description in RNAcentral is "lncRNA (ENSFDAG00000029744.1)". The record is from RNAcentral. Lineage: Eukaryota; Metazoa; Chordata; Mammalia; Rodentia; Bathyergidae.
GGGAAAUCCUCAGACACUCACACUUGAAAAGGACCCGUAUUACAGUGAGGUCCUGCACUGUGUGCUGUCCGGAUGCUCCUGAAAGUCAGGAUGACCAUGAAGGCACAUCUUCUGAUUUGAUUUACAACCCUGAGGCAGCCCCAACAGCACAGCUAAAAUCACUCCCAAAGAGAACUUCAGAACUACUUCAGAACAUGGC